UGGCGACGAGUGGCGAACGGGUGAGUAAUGCAUCGGAACGUAUCCAUUUGUGGGGGAUAGCCCGGCGAAAGCCGGAUUAAUACCGCAUAAUCUCUGAGGAGGAAAGUGGGGGACCUUCGGGCCUUACGCUGAUGGAGCGGCCGAUAUCUGAUUAGCUUGUUGGUAGGGUAAAAGCCUACCAAGGCGACGAUCAGUAGCUGGUUUGAGAGGAUGAUCAGCCACACUGGGACUGAGACACGGCCCAGACUCC
This 250-nucleotide ribosomal RNA is filed under the name uncultured bacterium. Its description in RNAcentral is "partial 16S ribosomal RNA". It matches the Rfam family "Bacterial small subunit ribosomal RNA", at positions 86 to 339 of the family's 1533-position model. The record is from RNAcentral.